UUGAGCGGAGAUAUAUGGAGCUUGCUUUAUAUAACUUAGCAGCGAACGGGUGAGUAACACGUAGAUAAUCUAUCCUAUACUGGGGGAUAGCCCGAUGAAAGUUGGAUUAAUACCGCAUAUAGCUAUAUAGUUGCAUGAUUAUGUAGUGAAAGAUUUAUUGGUAUAGGAGGAGUCUGCGGCACAUUAGCUAGUAGGUGAGGUAAAGGCUUACCUAGGCGACGAUGUGUAGCCGGUCUGAGAGGAUGAACGGCCACAAUGGAACUGAGACACGGUCCAUACUCCUACGGGAGGCAGCAGUGGGGAAUAUUGCACAAUGGGGGAAACCCUGAUGCAGCAACGCCGCGUGAGUGAAGAAGGUUUUCGGAUUGUAAAGCUCUGUUAGCAGGGAAGAGGAAGGACGGUACCUGCAGAGGAAGCCACGGCUAACUACGUGCCAGCAGCCGCGGUAAUACGUAGGUGGCAAGCGUUGUUCGGAAUAACUGGGCGUAAAGGAUGCGUAGGCGGUUAAACAAGUUAUAUGUUAAAUAUAUAGGCUUAACCUGUAGAAAGCAUAUAAAACUGUUUAACUAGAGUGCAGGAGAGGUAAGUGGAAUUCCUAGUGUAGCGGUGAAAUGCGUAGAGAUUAGGAAGAACACCAGUGGCGAAGGCGACUUACUGGACUGUAACUGACGCUGAGGCAUGAGAGCAUGGGGAGCAAACAGGAUUAGAUACCCUGGUAGUCCAUGCUGUAAACGAUGGGUACUAGGUGUGGGUUGUGAAUAACAAUUCGUGCCGUCGCAAACGCAAUAAGUACCCCGCCUGAAGAGUACGAUCGCA
RNAcentral lists this ribosomal RNA (816 nucleotides) under uncultured bacterium. RNAcentral's name for it is "bacterial SSU rRNA". It matches the Rfam family "Bacterial small subunit ribosomal RNA", at positions 62 to 890 of the family's 1533-position model. The record is from RNAcentral.